GCAUAAAGUAACACAAUGAAAAUACUCAAGUACAAGUAUGUUCUGUGUGGAGUUGCAAUAAUGCUAAUCUUAACCAUAACAUGCAAGAAUACUGAAGAAAAGUAUUUCUAAGUGUUUUUACCCAUUUUAAAGGAUACUGAAACAAAAGUAAAUGUAAUCCAUUACUUCUACCCCUGCAGGUAAUCACAAGCCUUCACUGACGAGUUGGUGGGCCUCAAAGUUGAGCUGAAGGAGAUUAUGUAAGAAGAAAGAUGAUCAUGAGGAGAGAAAACAAACAUACCGUGUCAGCUCCUCUAACCCUGCUCUGCAGAGGGGCUUUCUGCAGCUGGACCAGCCUUCCUCCUCCUCCUCCUCCUCCUCCUCCUCCGUCUGUGUACUGAAGUGAGCUGAAGCAGAGAAAAGGAGGCGUGUGGAGGCUACGAGUUCCUGACUGUUCUCUGCUUUGUUUACUCAGGUCAGAUGACACAGACAGCUGAUAUACCUGCAGUCCUCCCUGCUGGCCUGGAGCCACAGUCCGCUGAAGACUGACAGGACAGUUUGUGCCCAAACCUCGUUCAGUCCCUGCUGCAGGAUCAUUGGCUCCAACACGGAACGACACAUGCAUGUAUUUACUCUAUGAGCUGCUCGUUUGGGGCAGACAGCACCAAUCAACACCAGCUGAACAGAUGUUUUCUGAUUCAACUCGUCGGGUCUGAUCCCGACGGUGGAAAAAAGUUCUUCCAUUUGUUCUAACUGCUGCUAAGGGAUGAGGUCAGUGUCGGGUGUGAAAUUCUCUAAAAGCAGGUGGGUAUGUGGAAGCUGUUCGAGCACCUGAAGACAUCACGCUUCAGUCUGAGAGAGUGGACUGCAGCGACAGUCCUCAUCAGUAAUCUGAGCAUAUUUAUUAUCUACGAUAGUGGGACUGUAGUCACGCAAAACUCACCAAAUCCUAAAGGUUGUCCCCCGAUACGAACCAUUUUCCACAGCUCACCAGAAGCGCUGGUGAACAGGACGUUGUUUGGAAACCUUGAAGAGGACAAAGAAUGAACAGAUUAAUUUGAAUAUGACAGUUUGGUUUAUGGGGCAGACAGAAGCCUGCAGAAGCUUUGACACUUUCAGUUUCUGCAGCAGGAAUCAUGUUAAAGUGAUUUUUACCUGCCUCAAAACCUUUGAGGGAGCCCAUCAGUGUUUGAGUGACAGCUGAACGAGCCAAACAAACCUGUGAUGCUAACCGUUGCUAAGGACCGAGCAGAUGAACCAUGUAGCAUAUGAACUAAGUCUGAUGUUGACAUUUUAUGUUUUUUAGCCUUUCAGUGUGCUUCAGCUGACAAGCUAAUUAGCCUGCUAGCCUGCAAACAGACGCUCCUUUAUGCUUUCUGAAGGAAAUGUAACUAAUAAUUACAA
This is a long non-coding RNA of Chelmon rostratus (copperband butterflyfish), 1383 nucleotides long. RefSeq lists it as uncharacterized. The transcript is spliced from 3 exons. NCBI's taxonomy places the organism in Eukaryota, Metazoa, Chordata, Actinopteri, Chaetodontiformes, Chaetodontidae. The record is from RefSeq and is a predicted model, not a curated record.